GCUCAAAGAAGAAAGAAGAGCAGCUUAAUGUGAUUAAAGGUCAGGUGUGAAAAAAGUCAGAUCUCUGCUUCUAAAACGCUUCAGUGAGACUUUUUUCUGCUGGAUGUAAAUGAGACCAAGAGAAACAACAAGGAGUCUCCUCAGACCUCUGCCAGGUUUUACUCGGGGUCCUCCACGCAGUGCUCGGCAUCAAGGCCCUUCAGUCUUUUCCAGGUGUUAGUCAGGUUCUUCCAAACCCUUGACGGCUGUCCUUCCACCUGUGUGUCUGCUGGGAACAUCUUGGGUAACGGUAUCUGUGAGAAGUCUACUUUGGAGGAAACCAAAUGAUCCCCAGUUUCCAGAUCCUGGUCUUCAGUUUAGAUAAACCCCAAUGCAGCCUUUUGUCCGGAUCAAAGGUGAUCGGAGCAGGUGGACUCACCUGUGGCUUCACGUGUGAUUCUGAAACAUCUCAACAGACAAGACGACAGAAAGUGUUCAUGACCUCAUUUAGGAGGAGGUGUGUGCGUUUUCCCAGAAAGAGGGUGAUGGCGAGGUGGGCGUGGCCUCUGAUCUGUAAGCAGAACAAACCUGUAAAGUCUUGGAGAAACCUGGAACGGAUGCUGUGUUCCCGCUCAGCUGUUUGACUUCUUCAGCUCCGGAUCUGCUGCUUCUCUGAACGACACCUGUGAUGUUUGUUAGUAACGUUGAUCUUUGGACCGCCGGCUGUGAAGCCGUCUCUUUGGGCUCUGAGUAACUGUGACAGCAGAAUCUUUUCCUCCAUCAAUGGAAGAAAUAAUCAGCAGAUGGAUCCAGACUGAAAAGAAUCAUCAUCAACUGUCUGACACUGAACAGUUCAGAAGGAGCUGCAGCUUCAACAUUCUCCUUUCAGAACUUUUUAAAGUACAUUUUCAUGAUUGUACUAACGUCCAUGUUUCCCGCUCCGUCCCCACGCCUCCCCUCUGCAGCCACGUACCUGAAAAUGAGACGUCAGAAAGGCGAGUGAGAGAAAAACAUUCAGGCGAUCCGUUUUCUAAAAGCUUUUCUCUCCUGUGUUCAGGACGAAAGAGCAGGUGGAAAAAGGCUUUACAGGAUCAUCUGUCUGAGUUUGUUUUUAUCUGCAAAAACAGGUGGAAACAAGGGAGGACGUGUUUGUUGUUGUAAAACUCAUUUCAGCCACUAGAGGCUGCAGCGCACCACCUUUAAAUCAGGACUACCAGCAUCAUGUGUUCUGCUCUCUCAACACAGCCUUCACAACACUGUGUUUGGAGUCCAUUAUUAGGUUUAAAAAUUACAAAAUAAAACAAAUCAGUAAAACAUAAUUCAAUGAGCUAAUAGAAUCUAUGUUGUGUUUCGACUGAUUUGUAGUAAACAUGCUUUAUUUAUGUCAGUGUAAAUGUCUUACUGAGACACUGAACAAGAAUAAAAAAUAGAAUUUAUGAUAAAUUUAAAGGCAGGGAAGGCAAGUUGUUGUUUCUAAAACACUUUUUGUGAUAUUUGUUGAAACCGUCUUUAUACACCAACACAUGUUAAAAAAGUUAGGUGGUCUCAGGGCUGCAGGAGACACCGCCACUCUCUGCCAUGGCUACCAGCCCUGCUGCUACAGGAGCUGCCCCCAUGCGCCCGGUCAGCUCUGAGAUCUGACGAGCGAAGCGGUCAGACCGGAGGUGAUAUCUGUCUAGGGUGACCAGACGUCCCCGUUUUCAGAGGACAGUCCCUGGUUUUGGUGGCCUGUCCCCGGAAAUGUCCCCGUUUUUAACUGUGUGUUAAUCAUAGACUGUAUAAGGUGUUAGCAGACCUGAAGUCAGAUUCACGUGGCAGAAAGAUGGACAGCAGAUCAGACGGGUGCCGUCCGCGGGAGCUGCUUUGAUCUGGAUCAAACAGACAUGACGUGUAAAUAAACAUCACUU
This is a long non-coding RNA of Micropterus dolomieu (smallmouth bass), 1886 nucleotides long. RefSeq lists it as uncharacterized. The transcript has 6 exons. The record is from RefSeq and is a predicted model, not a curated record. Lineage: Eukaryota; Metazoa; Chordata; Actinopteri; Centrarchiformes; Centrarchidae.